GGCGUGCCUCCAACUCCCAUCAGCCAUUGCUCUUCAUGGCUGACCUGGAAAGGCUUUGCUUAAAGCCUUUCAGCACCGGGGCCCUGGACAGCACCAGAGCCGGGCAUGUGGACUGACGCCGCCCCUGCCUGCAUUCUUUUGCUUGACAACUUAAGGAGACUGGGAAGUUUGAGAAACCUCUUUAUAAAACUUUCCUUUCGCGGAGAUUCAGUAUCACCGAAAGGCAGGAGCUAGUGAGAGAGCAGCUGUCUGUUCUGAGCCUGGUCCUUUGACUCCCAGUUUGAAGAGUAAGCUGUCCCCAUAGCCUGCGAGGCAAGGUCUUCUUCACUGAGUCGGGUGGAAUCGGCUUCUGUUGCUUAACACCCAAAGAAGGCACCAAGCAUUGCCCGCCCAAAUUCAUGCUGUUCUUCACAGGGGCUCCAGCAAGGCCUCGUCCCUGGUCCAGCAGUGCGGGACCUUCGAGAUGACCUUGGGAGCCUGCUUCUGCACCACACCAGAACAUGGCAUCUUAAAGCCAUGCUUCAGUUUGGAUCCAGAGCAACAUUACCAGCUCAAUCAGCUGGUUAUUCACUGGGCUUGGCUACAAAUGCCAGAAAGCCUCUUGACUCUUUCCAAAAAUAAAACCCAGCUUCCCAGGAUGAAAAUCUGCCACUAUUGUGCUUAUUCCAAAUAAUGUGGCAUCGAUUGGAAGAAGAUUCUCCAGGGAGCCCCCAAAGUGUCUGCAACAAUGGUCACAGCCUUGGGAUAAAUAUCUGGUGUCUCUGACGACAGCCGGGAAGGAGAGAUGUUCAUUCGGAUGGACGUAUUUUGAUAUAUUUACUGAAGAGCCCAUCUCAUUAUCGAGAAAACACAUUAUGAUAGACUCAUGUUCCAACGCCUAAGAAGUAGAGGGUUUUUUUUAAUGACCCUUUGGAAAACCUUUCAUGUGCAUCCUGAGGCCUUUCCACAUCCCCGUGCCCCUGCCCACAGGAUUUUCCUUUCACAUGGGAAGCAGAUAAAGGUUAACAGGCAGCGGCCAUUAUCUGUUGUUCUUAAGCAGAAUGUAUGCCCCCUGCCCAAGGAUGAGCCGCAAAUCUGAAUUAAGAGAACGUGGACCAUCCGCCAGCAAAUCCUGCUUUAAAGCCCCUUGUGCUAUUGGCAGCAUGCUCCCUUGCCUUUUAAAUGUCUCUUGAACUGGGGAAAGGCAUUAUGCUUCCCAAAAUGAGAGAGAGAGACAGAGAGACAGACACAGACAGACAGACAGACAGACAGAGACACAGAGAGACAGACAGAGGCACAGAGAGAGAGACAGACACAGAAACAGAGAACGAGAGACACAGAGACAGCAACACAGAGACAGGGAGAGAUGCUUUGUGUGUAUGAUCUGUGGCAUGUGUGUGUGCGCGCGCAUGCACACGCGUGUAUUUGAAUGACAUAAACUGAAACAGUCCAGUAAGUGGAGCCCACUAUCCCACCUACACCUAGACAGUCUCCCAGGGGCUCCCACGCACCACCAGACGGAGGGAUUGAUACAUCCUCUGUCAUCUGUUUCCAUGCCGUUGUCAAGUGCGAAAAGUCCUGUGCCGUUCUGAAAAUUGGAGAAUUUCACCUCUGGCUGCGGGCAGAAGAAAGGUGGUCACUCUUGAUGUGCCUUUUGAUAAGGAAACAAAGAAGGAGUGGGGCUCUCACAAUUGACUCCUGUCUCUGGAUGUCUCGCGAUUUCCAUCUGUUCGUGAUCAAAGGCUCACAGCCCAAAACGAGAGGAAGAAGAAUCUCUCUGCGUUUGGCAGGCUCCAAGACAGUCUUGGAUUAUUUAUUUGUUCUGUAACUCAUUUCUGUCAAACAUUCUUUUUCUAUCUCUUGUCAUAAAAAAUUGAAAUGCUAGUUUCUCGGUGGAUGACUUGAUUUUAACUAUCUGCCUGACCUUGGACACAUUAUUUAACCUGUGUUCUUGAAUGUCAGGCCAGUGCCUGACCCAAAGAAGACGCUUCACACGUGUGCUGACAAGACUUCCACCUCCGACUCUGAUUUGCCUGUUUCAACCCAACAGUGGGCUUCCCUCCCAUGGGAUAUCCCGCGAUGCUACCGCUUUUGCCCCUUGGCACAUUUUAUAUUUGCUUGGUACUGACUCUCAGAAGCGUGGGUUUUGUUAUACUUCAGAGCAUGCUCUUUCACUACGGUAGCCUAAGUGGCUCCUCUCUGGAGUAUAGAGACAAUGGCCAUGCCACAGCCCGCCUACUGCUCAAUGCUUUUGAAAUCUGUCGUUUCUUCAUCUACUCCAUGUAUUUGAGGAGCUUUCCAUGGGCAACCAUUUCCCACUUCUUUCAACUCACAGUUGCCUGUGCUAUCUCAUCCUGUAACAAACAGGCGAGAUCAUAAACUUUGUUCAAGUUUUAUGACUUUCUAUUCACUCCUGACCCUCAAUUUUUCCAGUGUCCAAGUUCACAAAGCUGAGGUGUUUCUGGGGUUAAUGUUGCUCCCUGUGGCUUUGAUGUACAAAGUGUGUCCCUUGGAGGCUCACCUCCUAAUCUGAAUUGUCACCUGGGGGCCUGUUAGAGAUUGAUGACAGGGGAUUAUGAGAGUGUCUACGUGUUGUACUUUCAUCCAAUUUUCUGAUGUGUUUUGGUAAUGAUGUUGACAGUUGUGUGAAGAUCUGUUACUGAAAUUAAAGCCGCCACGGCAGCGUUUUUUUGAGCUCGAUGAUUAGAUUUGAUUAGAUCAGAGUGGGUUUUACUUCUUCCCCAGCGUCGGCCGAGAUUUACCGUCCAUCGACUGAUUUAACUUCUCCCUGGAAGAUGGUUAGUGACAUAACUUACCAUCAGCAAAAGAAAUGUCAAGGAGCAUUGGAUUGAGACCCAACCCUGUUUAGCUUGUAUGUUGACCUUGAAAGGUCUGGAAAGACAUACACUAUCAAAGAUGUCUGCUCACAAAGCCUAGUAGGCACAGUGACGGUUGACACUUUGGGGUGGGCACUUGUAUGGCUGAGAAUCUUCCAACUGGGACUAACAUCUGAGUGAGUCAGAGCUUUCAUGAAAUCAGAUAGGGGAAAGAGGGAAAAAAACAGGAGUAUAGUUUCUGAGUUCUUCUUGCUGCCGCCAAAGGGUGAAGGUAGCCAUUUCCAAACCUGAAUCUGGAUGACCACGUCACAGUGAGAUUCGGAAGAAGGUGGCUCACGUGUAGGGCUUUCCUGGGACAUGGUAUGUGCAAUCGACUUUCAGUAUGAAUUCUUAAAAUACUUGCAACCGAUAAGUCACAAGUUAAGAUAGGCAGAUGGCCAAUUGAUGGGGGAAACAUACAACUUCAACUAAGAAUCUUUAAAAUGUGGCAUAAAAUCAGACUUUAAUUUUCACUCAUAAAACAGUUGAAAACGUAGUCAGCAUUGAUAAAGAUGCAGUGAUCUACCAGAGGGACAUAAAAAAAUAUGGAAACAAAAAUGUAAAAAAAUAAAAGCAUGGGGCUGAAAUGUGUAUAGACCUCUUGACUCUUUAGUUCUACUAUAACUGUCUCAGAAAAAUAGAAAUACAUGAUCAAAAUUUUCUGUGGAGGGCUAUUUGUUUCACCAUUUUGUAAUGGAAAAAAAAAACUAGGAGCAACUUUAAUAGCCAUUAAUAACAAACCGUUUCUGUGAAUUACAGAAGAAGACCAGUGGGAUGAAAUACCAUGUAGUUGCUAAAAUUCUCUUCAAGGAAUAUUUAAGGGCAUGAAAAAAAAAAUUCAUGGUAUCAUAACCAAGGGAAAGAAGUAUAACACAAAAUUUCACUAUCAUGGCUUCCAAUACUGUAAAACAUUUAAAUGUGCACAGAAAGGACUAGAAGGAAAUAUAUCAAAAUAUUACAAAGUUUUCCAGGUGGUUGAUUUAGAGGUAAUUUUUAUUUAUGCUUCUCUGGAUUUUUCCCCCUUUUCUUUUUAAAUUUGCGAGGCGUGUGAAUUAGUCAGACUUUCCUUGUUGUGAUAGACACCUGAGAGAAGCUAUUUAAAAGGAAGGCAGACUUAUUGUAGUUGAUGGCUUCAGAGGUUCCAGCCCAUGGUUGGCUGGUUCCAUUGCUUUGGGCCAAGGAGGGGAGACGUAAUGGAGGAGAAAGACUGACAGACCCAAACUCCUGAACACCCAGGAAAUGAAGAAGAACAACAGGAAGGGCCAGGGGCCUUCAAAGGCAUAUCCUAGCAGCACACUACCUCCACACAGGCCCACCCUUCACAUUUCCAACACUUUCCAAUGGGCUUCCCGAGUUUUAGAUCCAUCAAUGAGUUAAACCAUUGAUGACACUAAGACCCUUAUGAUCGACCCAACUUCAGAAACAGGUUUGGAGACACACCCAGAAAUUAACAAUCAAGAAUAAGCAUCACAGUACAUUCUUCAAUAAUCAAGAGGAACUUUCAGGGAUCACAGUUGCAACAACCAAAGGUUCACCCAAAACUGUUACGCCUCCGAGUCUGAGAUCCCUGGGAGCAGGAAGAACAGCGGUGUUUCCCUUUGUCUAAUUUGGGGAUUUUUCGCAGAAACUCCCUUGGCUGUGGGCACUGUGUUUUCUCGGCUGCUUGGUGGUUUUCUGCACCUUGUCAGGAGUCAGAGGGAAGCUGUGGUGCUUUCUGAUCUCACAGGAUGGAUUUAUAAAUGUGUUCCUUGGUAAUGGUCCUGACUGGGGUAUCUGAAAUGCUCUUUCCAGAGCUCAGCUAUACACUCAUUCUUACUUAACAGCACUUUGUCCAAGAGUAGCAGGGAGUUGCUGACUCUGCCAUCUACAGAUGGUACUUAAAUCUGUGUGCCCUGAAUCACUGAGGGUCUACUAGAUAGUUUAAGUCUUGGUGUGUGUGUGGGGGGGGGGGGGGAUGUCUCUUCUUUGUGUCUCAUCUUUGUUCUACUAUAGAUGCCUCAAUUUUUUCCCUUCUAAAUAAAUGUUCUGUGAUGGGAAUUUAAAACCUUCUUCCUCCCAGCUGUACCAUGAGGAAGGUGUGAUAUGGUCUGAGCUGUCAUCACAGCCAGCCUGGUUUUCUUUAGUGACAGUAGCAGUGGUUCCCCACCCCCACCCCUUAUCCCACUGUUAUUCCUCAGAUGCCCAUGACUGUGAUACUUGAUGGAGGAAAUCCCAAGACUUCCUCACAGUACCACAGGGGCUCAAAGGCAAAUGGUGCUCGCAGUCUCUGAUAUAAAGGAGAUGCAAGAGCCAAACCUCUAUACCAAACGGACACAAAGGUCAGUUUGUUACUAGAAACAGCUUCCCAGAAUUUACCUUACAUGAGGGUGUGAUGGCAACCAGAGGCCACUGAGCCCCAGGGCUGGGUACCCACCCUGUGUCAAGCGUUUUGCACCAACAUUCUCACGUGACCCCCCCCCCCCACCGCAACCGUCUCCCAAGAUCUGUACUAUAUUAGUCCUACUGUUUCACAGACAGGAAAAUAGGCUUCAGAAACUUGUUAUGUCACUUGAAGCUGCAAAGUUAGAACCCAGACCAUUGGGUCAGUGUAUCCCAAGUUUUGUUAAAAGGAGAGGUCUUUGCUAAGCCAUGGCCCCCAAGCCUUGGAGCCUCUCUACCAAGGGAGUCGGGGAGGGGGGUGGCACUAGUAAUUUCCCACGGAUCCCUGGCGGUUCUUAUCGUUGGGUAAGCUUGUGGGAGAGAGCGGUGGGUGUUAGCGCAGUAAUGGUUCUCAGCCCCAACUGCAAGUUAGAAUUGUCAGGGGAGCAUUUAAUAGAAACGAGCGCCCAGCUCCACCCUGACACAUUCCGAUUUAAUCGCACUGGAGUGGGACCCAGGCUGCAGUAUCUUCAAGCUCGCCAGGUGAUUCGCAAGUGCAGCCAUGGUAGGGAACCACCGCUCUGUUGCUUCGGCUGAUUAAAAUUAAAUCAGCCUGACUUACUCUACAAAAACACCGGCAAAGGAAGAAUCACUCCGUGCUGGCCAGCUGUCUCCCACUUCCAGCCCUGCCAUUGAAAGGGGGGUGGGGGGUGGGGUGGGGCGUGGAGAGACUGAGGGAAGAAAAGCCAAGCAGCCAGCUGGGUGUGACAGCAAUCCUAGCUAGAUCCCCAAUCCUGACUGAGCACUGGAGGACGCCGGAGGGCAGUUAAGGUGUGCAGGGACGAUAGAGCUGGAAGAAGAAGAGCUUCUCUUGUCUCUGACCACAAUGUUCUCACACCGCAGGGUGUAUCCGAGAGCUUGUUAAAACCCAUGAUGACAAGACUCCAUUCCUGCCUGCUCUGAUACCCUAGGACCAGGAUCCUGGCACUGAUGCUGCCUGGUGGGGCACCUUUUGUUAUGUUGAUGUUAGCACUGUGCAGAAUUCAGCCACACCAAUUGCAGAAAACCCGAGCUAAAGCCCACACCCACGAGCUUCCUUCCAACCACAGUGCCAAACCCCAGUGACCAUUCAGGGGAUCAUUCUGCAGAGCAAAUCUGCCUGCGCCCAGCAGUGCUCUGAUGACUGUUGAAAGACGAUAGACAACCAGACCAGAUCCUCGCCCUGAGGAGCUCCGGGAGAAGCCACCAGCACUGGGAAAGUGGUUUUAGAACCUGGUGAUGUGAAGACAGGGAGCCAAGGCAAGUAACAAGAGAUGGAAGCUUUAGGUUGCCGGGGGCAGAAAGGCCUCUCUAAACGGAGGAUGUUGGAGCUAAAACGUGAACGAUAGAAUGAGCUAGGAACUGAAGGACCUAAAAGAGAGUGCCCCCCCCACACACACACACACAAGGCAACUGGGUCCUUAAACAUAACGAGGGCAUCAAGGAUGACCAAGGAUGAUAGGGCAGAGUGAACGGCUUGUGCGAUAAUUCCUGGGGCAAGAGUGAGCUUGGCACAUGGCAAGAACAGGAAGCAAGCAGUGCUUGAUGUGUGCACUACAGUCACAUGUUUUCGAGCUCUACCGAGCUCUUCACAUCCAUUAUCUCAUUACAGCCCAUGAUGUAAGAGGGUACCCAUCCUCGCAGAGUUAAGCCUGACGAUGAGUUAGUUCCCUUCAUCCAGUCAAACUUCCUAUCGAGUGGCAUACUUCUUAAGGGGUAUCAUUGCUUCUAGCAGUUUGAUGGCCCCUGAUAGAAGAUGCUUGCUUUUGUAUAGAGGGGGUGGGGAAGCCCAGAACCGAAGGGACAGAGCUGAUAUUGAUAAUGAUGGAGCUUGCAUCAAUGGUUUAUCUAGCCUUCUUGUGCACACAAUUCUUAGGCACUUGAUUUAAAGGUAUAUCCUCACUCUAGGGUCUGUGGGCAGGGCCUGAAAUUCUGAAUUUUUGGCAAACUCCAGCUUGGUCCAUGGCUCACAUUUUGAGUAAAAGAUCUCAGGUCACCAUGGGUGCGGACCUUUGCUGUUUGGUCAGAACGAGGCCAAGGGUGUAGAUUAUUCAUAUUCUGGCUGCUUGGCCAGCUAGACUAUGUCCUUGGGAUUAGCAUCUCCCAACCCUAGCUAAGGAUGCAAUAUCAGAGGUUAGAGUCUUGUCAGACACUGAUAAAAUGCCCCUAGGGGAGGCAGCAGGAACUAGCCCUCCCCCCACCCCCACUCCGGCACAUUGCAAAGGCUAGAGGAGCCCAGGCUGGUGUAAAAUCUUCCUUUGUCUUAGGCAGCCUGGGUCAGGCCAUACAUACUGAUGAUAGCAGCGUAUUGGUUCUCUGCCACUCUGAUUUACGCUCGGGAGGCGCUCAUCAAUUCCAAUAGGGAACUUGUUGAGUUAUUUUAGGUUUCAGUUUUGAUAGCGAAAACCAACUCCAUGAAACCAGCGUUUCUCUUCUCGCCUAUGUUUCUAGGAUGACAUCGCUACCUUCCAGUUCCUAACCAACCAGAGAUCUCGUUCCUCCCAGGGUCUCAGAGCUGCUGUUCCAUCUCCAGUGUGGGUACUGCAGACUCAAGGUCCUAUUGGGACCCAGGAGGGCUGCCAUUGUGAAAAUCCCAAACAGGUGGAGGACAGCAAAGAUUUUUUUUUCAAUAGUAGAGAGAUCAAUCGCAUUAGUCAUUGUUAACUAGAAAAGGGAAAAUACUAAUACCCUUGAUUGGGGGGGGGGCAGUUCAUGGUGUCCCAUCCCAGUAUCAAAAGGCACCCACUGAGAUGCAGUCAUGCCCCACCACCUCCUCUCAAGCUUAUGGCCAGACAGUAAACCUAGAGCCCUGUGGUUCCCCGCUCAGCCCUAGUAUCCCAAACACACACAGUUCAGCACCUGUCAUGAUAAGCAGCUUGCCAAAGGACUUAGACCUGUCACGGAAGAUGCCUGAGCGGAGGUCCUUUAUCAAUUACCUUGGGCCCUCUUAGCUGUCAGGGGCCCACCUGGUCCAGCUGUUCAAACCAUACCCAUAUAUUCCAGGCGAGCCCAAUACUAAUUUGCCACUAGACAGCAGGUGAAUACCAAGUACUCAGAAGCGCUUGGCAAACACUCCUGCUUUUCCUAUGACAUCCUGAAGGUCCAGCAGAGAUUCCCAGGUGCUGGGAGAGCAUGCAGCUUACACUUGCUGUUAAGACGAUGCCUAGGCCUAAAUUAACAAAGAUGACUGCGCCAAGCUAUGUGGGUCUGCGUCACAUUCAGCUCAGCAAACACUUAUUGAGCUGUAGGAAGGAACUUUGCCAGCCACUCAAGGAGAAACAAAGAUGGAUACGGUGUAGUCCUGAAUUCAAGAGGAUGGGAAUCUGUUAUAGCCGAGCCCACAGACAUAUCCAUAGACAUCUCGUACAAAGAAUAGAAUGUGAUAAACUCCCCCAUUACAGGCACAAUGUGGAACUGUGGCAGGGAGCUGGAUAAGAGAGAAAAUUGGAUCCAACCGAGAUGUCUGCAAUGGUCUUCUGGUUUGCCCAUAGAACAAACAGAAUUUGAACCUAGCAGUGAGCAUGCUUACUGAAACUAACUAUCAGCAUUGAGACUUAAGCCCUCUUGUGUCUCCCGCACUAUCUUCAGCCCCCUACAGGGGCUAGCUCAUUUGAACAUCUGUUCACCCCAUGAUGUGGGUACUUAGGUUAUCUGUGUGGUACAGGUGAGCCCAGGGAGGCUCGGUAAGGCCAGUGAAGCUGUCCCAGAGACCAGGUGGGCCCCUGACAGCUAAGAGGGCCAAAGGUAAUUUAUAAAGGGCCUCAGCUCAGGCGUCUUCCAUGACAGGUCUAAGUCCUUUGGCAAGCUGCUUAUCAUGACAGGUGCUGAGCUGUGUAUGUUUGGGAUUCUAUGUGGGAAGCUGGGCUCUGAACUCAGGUGUCCUAGAGCCGGUGCCCGGACUGCUAACUAUGAAACCCUUUCGCCUCUCUGUACAGACAUUUGGUUUUCUUUUUUAUCACCCGCAUGUUUAAGUCACUAAUCAGCUCCGUAGAGCUUUGUUAGAAGCCGAGCGAGCACUGAGGACCUUCUGAAGAUGUUUGUUUAUUCCUCUCCGAGGGCUUUUGAGCCACCUAAUCAGUGGUACCCUGGAUGAGUGCAAGCAGCAGCAACCUGCCUGCCUCUUGGAGCUUGGGAGAGCCCAGCCAGGCUCUUCAGGCUGCCGUUCAACUCUCCGUAAAGUCUUCAGGGUUCUCAGAGUCCAUCUGAGCCCGUCUCUCCCUCUGGAUCUUUGGACUGCUGCCUCAACUCCCUUUUAGGGGUCUUUGAUGUAAAUUGUAAAGGGGCCCGACAUACCAUGGACAGCGUUCCUUUUUCUCUCCUGGCUUUAUAGCUUGAGACUACACAGUCUCAAGAGGCAGCAAACUGGUCUGUUGCCUGCCAGCCUUGGAGCAAGCUUUGCCAGGUGUUUCUCAGUCUAGGUGGGACAGUGUGAUAUUUAGACAAGGCCUCUGUGAGUAGGAGCUGCAAAUCCAGCCAUGACCCUGCUCCGGGAGGCUCUGCAGGCCUGGAGGAAGGGUCUAUCAAGACCUAUGCCAAAGAUAUAUGGCUAACGGAGUUGACGGCAACGGCGCUAAGGAAAAAACACUUUUGUGGGACUGGGGUUUGAUCCUGACCUGGGCGAAAGUACUAGGUUUUAUUUUUCUUCCUCCUUUUGGAUGCCGAACAGGAAUCUUUCAGCUACUCCUUGCCCCACUUCCCACCUCCUUGAAAACAGAAGAAGGAGGGAUCUCCCAGCUUCCCGCCCCUCCCUGCCCCCCAUCUCCUGCAUGGACGUUUCAACAUCUGGGCACACCAGAUCCAGAGGUCCCAAGCCUUCCAAACCCUGCAGUCAGCAGGCCUAUGGGGACAGGCGCCGGCCUCCCCCUCCCCCACUUAGUGACUAGCGCGGGAUGGCGAGGCGGGUCCAUCAGCCAGGCCAGGUUCUUCUCUGCCCUGGGAUUGGUCCAGGCGCGUUUUGUGUUAAAUGCCGACAUAUAAAUUUGUAGACGAUCCUUGUGAGCAAAUUGGAUUCCUUCACAGGGCUCUUAAGUGCUGCCAUUUAGCCAGAUUUAACGGUAGACUCUGGCCACAGCCACCCCCACCGCCACCCCCCACCCUACCCCGGGCUGACCCUCCACAGUCACCGGGAAUCGAUCCCAGGCUGCCUGCCGCCCAGACAGCCAGGGGCUCAGCACACAAAGCCUGGCUAGGCCCAGCGCUUCCAGCGCCUCAUCUUGGCUUCCUCCCCACUGUCUCCACCUUCUCUCCCUCGCUUCUCUCCCGGCCUCCCGCUCCCUUUCUCCCCAACGACUCCCGACUCCCGCCCCGCCGCCUUCCCCUCUUCCCCUCCAGCCUCUCCCUCCUCCUGUCUGAGCCGUGGCAGCUGCUUCCAAUGCAGCGAGAUGCACCAAUUCAUUCAGCCUCGCAGACUCUUUAAGGUCGUUACUAAAUAUAUCAAGCAGAAGAAAAGGGUCUUUUUUCCUAUCUCUGAGCAGGGAGUGUAAAUGCCGGCCUUAGGAUCGCAGCUCCUGCUCCCUGAUCCCGUAAGGGAGGCAGCCCUGAGCAGCCUGGCUCCUGAGUCCUGCUGUUAGCUCACGGGCAGGAGUGACCCCAGACCAAGGGAAGGGAUGCAGCCCGGUGGGAUAAGAGAUGCCACCGGACUCCAAAGAAUUAGAAAUGACAUGCACUUUUUAUCUUCAAGGAGUUAAGCUGCUCUGGCGACCCCAAGAAGAAUACAAUUUAAACAAUUUCUUCCAGAGUGAUCUCUCCCCCUCUGGAUGAAUUUUUUUUUUCCUUUAUUUUUUUGAGGAAAUUGGAAAGUGUUGAAAGAAGUCGAGGUGCCAGCCCUGUAGUCAGAAUUCUAUUCAGGUGCUCCAAGCAACGUUGUCUGGUGUUUUUCUGAGUUGUAGGCAGGUGACCUUGCAGCCAGGAGCACUAACCAGAGGUGCUGAGCACCAGAAGAGUCAGAGCCGUGUUGUGAUCAGAAAUGUACAACAGAGUUCGUCUCCUGUUCCACAGCAGGGGGUGCCUGGCGGGGACUGCUGGCAGGUCCUGCUUUAUGCUUCAUUCCUCCAUGCUACACACUGACACAGGCUUCCUGGGUGUCUCCGGGACUUCUCCCCUUCCUGGUGUGUAGGCAGAGCUGGCUGAGCGAGACUUAACGAAACACCUCCUCCAUGCAAAAAUAUCUUCUGCAUGUAGUACACGGUGCCAUGGCUUAGAAGUUCCUCAAAGGGAGAUUUAAAACAGAAGCAAUAAUUUGUAUUACAUCUUUUUUUUUUUUUUUAAGGCAGGGUUUCUCUGAGGCGAGAUAGUUCUCCUGGAACUCACUCUGUAGACCAGGCCGGCCUCAAACUCAGAGACCCUAUACCUCUGCCUCUCAAGUGCUGGGACUAAAGGUGUGUGCCUCUACUGACCAGCCUGAUCUUAAAAGCAGAAAAUAUGAGGUCACUAGAGAAUGUCCAGGGCAGUCACUUGUAACCUUUGGUGGGGGUGGGGUGGGGGUGGGGGUGGCAACCCUUUUUUAAUUUUUUUUUUUAAUUGCUGGGUGAGUAGAGUCCGGGAACAACUUUGGAAUGAUGGUGAACUCCAUCGUUAUGUGGUUCCUGAGAAUUGAGCUCAGUCAGGUCUUCAGACAGGCUUAACUAGCUGAGCCAGCCUGAGAAUGGCUUUUAUGGGACGGUGAUAAGGUUGUCUCUCCAGGCAAUUAGCACAUUGUCAUUUUGGAAGUAGGUUAGGAGGAAGUUCAUGAAACCCCUAAGCCCUAUCCAUAGGUGUGCUGACUUCUGGAUGAGAACCCUGAAACCAAGGAAGACUUCAGACAACAGUAUCUCAGUAACUUCCCAAAGGAAAACUCGGUGGUGGUGCUUAGAAAAUAUACAGCCAUGGCACUCUGAACACCCCCAGUAUCACCCGACCUCAGAAGGAACGGAACCUUCUAGAAAAGUCACUGAUGUAGUAGACCAAAAGGAAGACGGUGGCCUGUGGGGGCACCAAAGACCAGCUCUUCAUGCAGGAGAAAGCCCGGCAGCUCCUGAGCCGCCUGAAGUCCAGCCACACAUCUCGGACCCUCAUUCUGUCCUGAGGGACUUGAAUGGCAAGAGCCGGCUCUCAUGUUUACAGGGGUAGGGUGUGGGGUAAGGUUAAAGUCACAUUAAGUGACCAGCUUCAGGAUGUCUUCUGCCAGCCCCUCAAACUACUUAGGUGGCAGAAGUCACGUGGUAAUACCCCUUCCCUGAGUCUAGCUUUGGGAAGUUCCUGGUGCUAAUAGAACAAGGUCCCACUCCUGGGCCUGCCUGUCCUCUACCCAAUGCUAGAAGGAACCCUAUCAGGGUCUCCCAGGCUCUCAUCCAGUCUGGCCUCAUCUCAGACUCCUGCUUAGGAUGGGGGUGUGGCUAGGGGUGCGCCUUUCCUCGUCUCCUGUUGGUACACUGUCCCCACAAUAAAAUGCCAUUCUCCCUCUGCC
This is a long non-coding RNA of Mus musculus (house mouse), 12696 nucleotides long. RefSeq annotates it as predicted gene, 41848. The record is from RefSeq and is a predicted model, not a curated record. The transcript has 2 exons. Lineage: Eukaryota; Metazoa; Chordata; Mammalia; Rodentia; Muridae.